AAAAGGCGCCUGAAUUUUUUAAACAGUGAGAAAUAAACUUAUUCCAAUUUAAGAAAACCCUAAAUCAAGGAAUACUUCAUUUCUUCUUCCUUCGCCAACUACUGUCGCCAAUACUCGGAAUUCGCCGGCCAAUAUUCCUCGCCGGUCUACCGUCUUCGCAAGCCAUUUAUCCCGCCGGCAUACUCUGAUCCAUUACCAGCCUACCACCACCACAUUAUCGCCGAUAUUUUCAUAGCAUCUGCGCUGACACUAUUCCCUCCAGAGUAUGUUAAGGAGUUCCAGAAGUGUUUUGAUCAAGCCCCUACAAUCCCUUUUGAAGGUAUCAACGCAAUCCUGAAUCAAGAAUUAAAGAGACCGAUUGAUAGUCUAUAUGAAUACAUUGAUCCAACUCCUCUUGCAUCAGCCUCAAUAGCACAGGUUGACAGCAUAAUACCUGGGUCACUUCCUUCAUCUAUAACAGGGCCCGUAAUUCUUGUGGUUCGCAGAGCUGAUGGAGAUGAAGAGUUAUGAAAGAUCUCUGAAUGUGUUUAGCACAUAGUAUUGAAGACCCUCAACUGUAUGUGUAACAUGAGGGAUAUUUGGCAGGUGAUGGCUGCAGGGACUAAUAUAGUUGGUGUGAUAUUCUGCAAGAGCUACCACACUUAUGCAUCUUGGUGUUCGAGCUCGACAAGAGAAGGUUACCUUGUGACCUGCGAAGAUGAUGAUUACCUUUGUGACUUGCGAAGAUGAUGAUUCGGCUUCUUAUAUUGAGAAACUUGAGAAAUAUUAUCCAGCCUGUUCAUGUCUUCUCUAGUCAUAGCAAAGUUGUCUCAUAUGUUAAAUUCUUGUCUACUAAUGAAUUAACUUGCUUCUGCAUUAACUGAUAGCACAUUGUGCUUGUGGCAUCAACUGUAAUCCGCUUCAAUUCUGUGUUAAAAACAUGGAAUUUGUGCACAUGAAUUGGAAGAAACGGGCCUAUGUGCUCUAUUAUUUUUUUGUAACUUAGUUGAAGUUUUGGAAUCUUCUACCAUUAUAUUGAUAUGCAUGUGAUUUUGUAGUGAA
This is a long non-coding RNA of Beta vulgaris subsp. vulgaris (sugar beet), 1041 nucleotides long. RefSeq lists it as uncharacterized. The record is from RefSeq and is a predicted model, not a curated record. Lineage: Eukaryota; Viridiplantae; Streptophyta; Magnoliopsida; Caryophyllales; Amaranthaceae. The transcript has 4 exons.